This 253-nucleotide ribosomal RNA is filed under the name uncultured bacterium. Its description in RNAcentral is "partial 16S ribosomal RNA". It matches the Rfam family "Bacterial small subunit ribosomal RNA", at positions 524 to 776 of the family's 1533-position model. The record is from RNAcentral.
UACGUAGGGUGCAAGCGUUAAUCGGAAUUACUGGGCGUAAAGCGUGCGCAGGCGGUUUUGUAAGUCUGUUGUGAAAGCCCCGGGCUUAACCUGGGAAUUGCGAUGGAGACUGCAAGGCUUGAAUCUGGCAGAGGGGGGUAGAAUUCCACGUGUAGCAGUGAAAUGCGUAGAGAUGUGGAGGAACACCGAUGGCGAAGGCAGCCCCCUGGGUCAAGAUUGACGCUCAUGCACGAAAGCGUGGGGAGCAAACAGG